UUCAGGCUUUGUUUUUUCUGCUGAGACAGGCAUAGAGGCUGGAGCUCACAGUCUGACAUUCUCCCCUGUGCUGUGGAGCCAGGCAGAUAAUAUUAUGUGUGGGUUAUGCCCAGUUUCCCAUCCUCCCACCUCAUAUUCUGGAGAAGUAAUGACAUCUCUUUUCCUCCUGCUCAAGAAGGCAUUCUGUAGGGUAAGUGAGAGAGGUAUUUGUAUAGGGAUAACCAUGACACAUUUUAUUUAAUGAAAGCCUCCCACCUGUCUCCCUGUUCAAGGAUCACCUUCUUCAGAAAACCUUAAAAACAGUGAUUUGCCUCAGGUGCACUCCACAGUUUGCUGCUCAGAGGUGUCCCUCACUGCUCCCCACCACUGCCAGCCACUGCUCCUGUGGAAGUUGGCUACCCCGAAACUCCUGGUCUAUACUCCCCCUUGACAGGGUGCUGUUCCAUCUUUCUAGGUAGCAGUGGCUGAGGGUGGACAAGACACUCUUUUUUGUGUAGCCUAUUACUUCUCUUCUCCACCAUACCAUCCCAAAAGGCCUUACUGGAGGUUGAAUAUAACCAAAUUAAUUAUGAUUUCAAAAAAUGCUUUAUAUAAUGGUCCAUUAUAAUCCAAGACAAGAUUACAAUUAAACCCUUUCACAGGAGUGUCUCUAUCAGACGCACCCAAUUUCUUGCUUAAUCCUGCCAUCCGCAAGUCUCCACUCCUUCCCCUGAUGACCUCCCUUUUAUAGAUUGUCCUACAAUGUGAAUCCUUAUUCUUCACGGAAACAUUGUGGCCUCAAACAUUUAAUCAGUGUUGACAUCUGUUUCCACAGGUUAUUUCUGGACACAGUAAUCCUUCAGCAAUACAAUUACCAAGUUAUUCAACAUGGAAGGCUUUGCCAAGACAGUGGUGGCUGGGAUUUGACCCUCUAAGUGUGAGGGUCAUCCAUUCCUUUAUUAGCAAAUAUUCAUGAAUGCCCACUAUGUGCAACACACGGUGCUUGGUGCAAGCAUACAGUGAUGAAUCAAGUAGAGAAGGCCCUGCCCUUAUGGAGCUUACAGCCUGGCUGUGUAAACAUCUUGGGAAUAGAGCAGUUGACUGGACAUCUCUCAUGUGCAGCAGCAGCAGGAAAAAGAACUUUGGACUUUAUCUGGUUUGCCUUUGAUUCUCAGUUCUCUCAGUUACUUGCUAAGCAAAUGACAUCUCCUUUCUCUGUUUCAUAUCCCUCAUCUGUUAAACAGGGAUCAUAAUACCUAACGUCGUGGGCUUCCAAGACAAAUCCUAGGGGAGGAAUUCUGCAAUGCACCCAGUACUUGCCAAGUAUUGUGUCUGGUAUUUAGCACAAAAGGAAUUUUAGUUUCCUCUACCUCUCACUUUGGGAGCUCAGAUAAAUUAGUAGCUGUAUUUUCCUAGACAAAAGAUUCUAUUUGUUUAUGUGUCCUACACUGCAUUAGGCUAAGCUAUGGCAAGAAAGAGAAAAAAAAAACUUAAGUGGAUUAAUACAUUUAAAAUGUACUUCUUGCACAUGUAAUACUUCUAGGUGGGUGUUGUCAGGGUCACUCCUCCCCAUGCUGGUGGUAGCUUGAUAUAUUUACUCUGUGGCUUCCAAGAUUACCCAAGGUGUUGACAUCUCAGUGGACUAGAAGAGAGAAUGAGCAUGGAGGCGCAUUUGGGGAGAGUGAGGAGGGCUGAACCUGGAGAUGGGAUCAUUAUUCAUGCUUCACACUGACUCCCAGAGAACUGAGUUAUGUGGUCACAACUCAUAUAAGGGAAACCGGGAGAUCUCAUCUUGCUGUAUUUUUGCAAAUAAAAAUUAAAACCUUAGUUUCCCAUAAAGAGGCAGCGUAAACAUCCGGCAGGGAAGAAUGGAAUUUUGGGGACAGUUAGCAGUCUUGAUUAUUAAUUAAGAGCAAAUAGUUCUUCCCUUGUAGCGUUCAUCACCAUCCCUCAAAAACACAAGUAAUAGAAAAAGCUGAGAUAGAGUUACCCUGGGAGAAUCCAAGAAUAACUUUGGUAAGGUAAGUGUAUAUAAAUUGAAAGAAAACACUCGACUGCUAUUCUAAUCAUUCUUGUAAUCAACAUUUAUUUAAUUUUUAUUAGGCAUCACUUGGUGGGGAUACAAAGAUGGAAAGAGGAAGGCAAUGUAUGUAUGCUAGGAGGAUCAGAAGACAACCAUAGUUAGCUAAGAGGUCAUGAUUUAGCAACAAAUGAAACCAGACUUGUCUAACAAAUUUCUCAUCAACAAACAUUGUACAAAAAAAAGUACUGAAUAAAAGUAUUGCCUAUGUUGUUGUUCACACCUAUGUAUUUACUAGAAUGUCUGAGAGGGCUGUACUGUAUAUAUGACUUUAAAUUUUAGUUGAUUUAUUUAUUAACCUUGAAAAGAGUAAGUACUUCUUAGUGAAAGCAAUUCUUACAGCUUUGUUUUCAACCAACUAAAAAUGAUAUCACUCUUACAUAUUGUCCUCCAUAUUCUGAGGUCUUAAAUGUACUUUUUUCUGAUUUGUAUUUAUGUCCUGAGACAGAGAUUUUUGGAAAAGAAAAUAAACCUACAGUUAAAAGAAAAAAGAAAACAAUGAAAAUAGAAGCUGAGCUUAGCUGAGGAUAUGAAUAACGAAAAGCAACCACCUUACCGCAAAACAACUCUAAGAAGUAGGAUUAUCAUCACUCAAUUUACAGGCAUCCAUGUCCUCCAGGAUAUAAAGGAAGAAGUUGAGGGAUGGAUGCAGAGUAUACUAUUCUCCACCAUUACAAA
This 2737-nucleotide long non-coding RNA is filed under the name Homo sapiens (human). Its description in RNAcentral is "HSALNT0292343". Lineage: Eukaryota; Metazoa; Chordata; Mammalia; Primates; Hominidae. The record is from RNAcentral.